Molecule: ribosomal RNA, 403 nt
Filed under: bacterium
Lineage: Bacteria
Description: partial 16S ribosomal RNA
Rfam family: Bacterial small subunit ribosomal RNA
Source: RNAcentral
UGGGGAAUAUUGCACAAUGGGGGAAACCCUGAUGCAGCGACGCCGCGUGAACGAAGAAGGUAUUCGUAUCGUAAAGUUCUGUCCUAUGGGAAGAUAAUGACAGUACCAUAGAAGAAAGCUCCGGCUAAAUACGUGCCAGCAGCCGCGGUAAUACGUAUGGAGCGAGCGUUGUCCGGAAUUAUUGGGCGUAAAGGGUACGCAGGCGGUUUUAUAAGUCGAAUGUUAAAGAUCGGGGCUCAACCCCGUAAAGCAUUGGAAACUGAUAAACUUGAGUAGUGGAGAGGAAAGUGGAAUUCCUAGUGUAGUGGUGAAAUACGUAGAUAUUAGGAGGAAUACCAGUAGCGAAGGCGACUUUCUGGACACAAACUGACGCUGAGGUACGAAAGCGUGGGGAGCAAACAGG